RNAcentral lists this ribosomal RNA (485 nucleotides) under uncultured bacterium. RNAcentral describes it as "partial 16S ribosomal RNA". It matches the Rfam family "Bacterial small subunit ribosomal RNA", at positions 30 to 506 of the family's 1533-position model. The record is from RNAcentral.
AUUGAACGCUGGCGGCAUGCCUUACACAUGCAAGUCGAACGGCAGCACGGGUGCUUGCACCUGGUGGCGAGUGGCGAACGGGUGAGUAAUACAUCGGCACAUGUCCUGUAGUGGGGGAUAGCCCGGCGAAAGCCGGAUUAAUACCGCAUACGAUCCACGGCUUAAAGCGGGGGACCUUCGGUCCUCGCGCUAUAGGGUUGGCCGAUGGCUGAUUAGCUAGUUGGUGGGGUAAAGGCCUACCAAGGCGACGAUCAGUAGCUGGUCUGAGAGGACGACCAGCCACACUGGGACUGAGACACGGCCCAGACUCCUACGGGAGGCAGCAGUGGGGAAGUUUGGACAAGGGGCGAAAGCCUGAUCCAGCAAUGCCGCGUGUGUGAAGAAGGCCUGCGGGUUGUAAAGCACUUUUGUCCGGAAAGAAAUCCUUGGCUGUAAUACAGUCGGGGGAUGACGGUACCGGAAGAAUAAGCACCGGCUAACUACGU